AUUGAACGCUGGCGGCAGGCCUAACACAUGCAAGUCGAGCGGAUGAAGGGAGCUUGCUCCUGGAUUCAGCGGCGGACGGGUGAGUAAUGCCUAUGAAUCUGCCUGGUAGUGGGGGAUAACGUCCGGAAACGGGCGCUAAUACCGCAUACGUCCUGCGGGAGAAAGUUGGUGAUCUUCGGACCUCACGCUCUCAGAUGAGCCUAGGUCGGAUUAGCUAGUUGGUGGGGUAAAGGCCUACCAAGGCGACGAUCCGUAACUGGUCUGAGAGGAUGAUCAGUCACACUGGAACUGGGACACGGUCAAGACUCCUACGGGAGGCAGCAGUGGGGAAUAGUAGACAAUGGGCGAAAGCCUGGUCCAGCCAGGCCGCGUGUGUGAAGAAGGUCUUCGGAUUGUAAAGAACUUUAAGUUGGGAGGAAGGGCAGUAAGUUAAUACCUUGCUGUUUUGACGUUACCAACAGAAUAAGCACCGGCUAACUUCGUG
Molecule: ribosomal RNA, 484 nt
Filed under: uncultured bacterium
Lineage: Bacteria
Description: partial 16S ribosomal RNA
Rfam family: Bacterial small subunit ribosomal RNA
Source: RNAcentral